CGCUGGCGGCGUGCUUAACACAUGCAAGUCGAACGAGAGGACAAGAGAAGCUUGCUUCUUUUGGAAUCGAGUGGCAAACGGGUGAGUAACACGUAAACAACCUGCCUUCAGGAUGGGGACAACAGACGGAAACGACUGCUAAUACCGAAUACGCUUGGGAGACCGCAUGAUCUUCCAAGGAAAGGGUGGCCUCUACUUGUAAGCUAUCGCCUGAAGAGGGGUUUGCGUCUGAUUAGGCAGUUGGUGAGGUAACGGCCCACCAAACCUACGAUCAGUAGCCGGUCUGAGAGGAUGAACGGCCACACUGGAACUGAGACACGGUCCAGACUCCUACGGGAGGCAGCAGUGGGGAAUCUUCCGCAAUGGGCGAAAGCCUGACGGAGCAACGCCGCGUAAGUGAUGACGGCCUUCGGGUUGUAAAGCUCUGUGAUCGGGGACGAACGGUCCGUAAGCCAAUACCUUAUGGAAGUGACGGUACCCGAAUAGCAAGCCACGGCUAACUACGUG
This 507-nucleotide ribosomal RNA is filed under the name uncultured bacterium. Its description in RNAcentral is "bacterial SSU rRNA". It matches the Rfam family "Bacterial small subunit ribosomal RNA", at positions 34 to 507 of the family's 1533-position model. The record is from RNAcentral.